GUUAUUAGACUGUUGAAAAAGAAACAGCUAAGACUGAAUUUGAAGCUCGGCUUAAGCUUGACACAAAGCCAAUGGAAUUUGCAAUGGUGAAUCCAAAUAAGAAAACUAAAAUUGGGCACCCUGUUGGCUAUCGCCUGCUUCCAGGAUUAGUCGUAGGUCCGCUGCUAACGGAUGAUGAUUAUCCACAAAUCCGAGCCGGCUUCACUGAUUAUAAUAUUUGGGUUACCCCAUAUAACAAGUCAGAAAAAUAUUCAGGAGGAAACUAUGUUGAUCAAAGCCAUGGUGAUGAUACCUUAUUGCAAUGGACUGACGGGUAUAAUCCCAAUCUCAAACUUUUUGUAAGAUGUAAUGUUUUAAUUAGCUAGGCUAAUUCUGCAUAGCAUAACAUACAAACCAUUUGAAUGUGCAGGAAUAGGGAGAUUGAGAACAAGGAUAUAGUACUUUGGUACACUAUGGGCAUUCAUCAUGCUCCUUGCCAGGAAGAUUUUCCGGUGAUGCCAACAGUGAGUGGUGGAUUCGAGCUCCGACCAACUAAUUUCUUUGAAUAUAAUCCAGUGCUUAAAGUGAUUCCUCCGAAGCACGUACAAUGGCCUAAUUGCACCGGCAAACACCAGCCAGUUUCUACUUUAAAUAUUUGGUGGUAAAUUUAUUUGAUGCCAUUUAAAACAAGUGUGUGUGAUACCUGAACUACCAACAAUGGUCAAGGCAUCUGUUGUUUAUUUCUACUUCAAAAACACAUUUUAUAUUCAUGCCCCUCAGUUUCUGUCUGAAUUUUUCUUCUUGUUUGUAUCAAGUUUUUGAUCAAGGCCUUUGUUAUUUGGCUUGAUUUUACUGCUGCGUUUUAAAUAGAAUAAACUCAAGACUCUUGCUCUUUACAGACAAACAGUCAAUACUAUCCUGAUUGUUAUAAGUUGUUUUGAGCAUUCAGAGUACCAGUGUUCCUUAUUUAUCAAAUGCCCUAAAUUUUGAAGUGGAUGCCCGCUAGCUUAACUUAUGCCCACUAUCUUAAUUUAUAGUUAAAAAUCAAAAUUAAGAAUUAAUUAUUAUCUCAAGUUUAUAUUUUAACUCGGGGAUUUUGUCGACCAAACGUGGGAUAUUUCCCUAUCAGAAUGCACGGUAAAUCCCACCAUUCCCAUUACCACUCAAAAUCACUCAAUACUGAAGGGUUCCUGGCCACCAACUCAAGAUUUCUAGGGAUCAUACAACUUAAAAACCCACUCUGAAAGAGAAAGAUCGUCCGUCCUUAUCUUCAACUUGAAGAAUAUUGAUAUAUUAUUACAAUAUUAUGCAUGAGCCAUUAUCAACUUUUGGACGCUUUUGUCCUAAUUACACACACGCACACACACACAGAGGGACGGUUUGAGCCCCCACUGGCCAAAAAAAAAUAUUUAAAAAUAAAAGAGAAAAAUAUUUUAAUUUUCUAAUUAAUUCCCAUUAAAUUUAUUGAAAUAGUCACUUAAAUAUAAACCCUCAUAAAAUUUAAACUUUGACUUUUAAGAAAUAUAAAAACAUGUAUUUUAAUUAAAAAUAAUGAUAGCCCACCACCCAAAAUAUUUUCUAUUCUAAAAAAUAUGGUUAAUUCUUCCAGUUUAUAUAAUAAUAGUAGAACGAACGUUUUCAAUAAUAAAACUCAUGAAGAAUCAUCUUUGGAAUCAGAUGGGAUAAGUGAUAGUUUGGUUGUUUAUAUAGGAAACAAUAAAUUUAAUAAUAUUGAUAAUGAGUCUAUUGCAUAACAUUUUUAAAAUAUAAAAAUGCGUAGAGACUAAUUAUAAAUGUAUUAGCAAAUAUUCUAUAUAUUCAAAAUUUUAGUUUUUUAUAUUUAUUAUUAUCUAAUUUAGCCCCCGCUAAAUUAUUUUGCUAGAUCCGCCAUUGCGCGCGCGCGUGAGCGCGCACACACACACACACACACACACAUAUAUAUAUAUAUAUAUAUAUAUAAUUUUCAAAUUCUAAGGAAAAGACAAGUACAAAUAUAUUCAUAUAAUUUUCAAAAACAGUGGGAAAGUACAAAAUAUGAUUCAAAUUUAAAUUCAAUCGGACAAGGGGCACCUGGUGGUCCUGUGUGGCUGUGCAUGAGUCCCCCUUCCCACCUCCCACUCCGGUGGUCCUCUGUGUGGCUCCAGCACUGCGAAUGAGUUCCUUUGAUAAGUCACUUCCAAAAUCAAUAUCAUACCACAAAUCAAAACGUUCAUCAAAUGGAGAAAAAUCUUAGCGGCAUAUAUUGACUUUGUUAAAGAGAUUUGCAUCAUUGGACAAGAAUUUUCUCCUACCGUUUUUUCUCACCUAAUAUCUCAUAUUAAAGUAAGAGAUAAGAUUGAAUUUUAAAUUUUGAUUUUGACAAUCAAGUCAAUUUUUUUUCAUUUUAUUUACAAUUAAUUAAGCUUAUUUUUUUUUCUCUAGAUUUAAUGGUGCAUUUACUUCAUGGAAUGAGAAUUGUGUGGAAUGAGAAUAAGCUGGGAAUAUGAAUGGACAUGAAUAUGAAUAAGGAAUGGGAGUAAGAUUCCACUGUUUCCUUAGCAAAAAUAAAUGGGAACGGGAAUGUGAUUGAUGUGUUUACUUGGUAAAAUAAAUGAGAAUGAGGAAUGAGAAUGAGGAAUGAGAAUGAGGAAUGAGAAUGAGAAUGAGAAUCAAUUUAUCAAAAUAUCCAUAAUAUUAAAUAAUGUAAUUUUUAUUAACUAAAUACAUAUAUAAAUAUUAUUAUAAAAAUUAUAUUAAUUAAAAAAAUAAAAUUAAUAAUAAUAAAUGUUAAUAAUGAUAAUAUUAAUAAAAAUAAAAAUAACGAUAAUUAAGAAUAACUAAAAUAAGAAAGUCAAUAAUAAUAAUAAUAAUAAUAAUAAUAUAUUUGAACAAGGGUAAUUUGAAAAAUAUGAAAAAAUUAGAGGGAUACAAAUGUAAAUUUGUGUUCUUUCUCAUUCCUUCAUUCUCAUUCCUAACACUCCAUGGGAAUUAUAUAUAUAGAUAUUGUGUGUGUGUGUGUGUGUGUGUGUGUGUGUGUGUGUGUGAUUUCAGUAAAUUAACAUUUAGAGGCAUAUAAAAAAUUAUUACUAUAUUAUAAAGUAUUUAAAUUAUUAAAAAAACCCAAAAGUUUGAAACAAUAUCUCUAAACCCUAAACCCACAAACUAUUAUACAAUACAAAAAUUCUCAAAUUUAAGUAUACAAUACAAAAAUUCAUUAAAAAAAACCCACAAAUUAUUAUCUAAAAAUAACAAUUAUAUUUCAUAUUAUCAUUCAACACAAGCUCCAAUAUAAGAAUUUCAUUUCAUUCGCCAUCGUUGGCACCAAUCCAACAUGAUGUCUACGAUAAUGAUUACAAUUAAUAUUUUCUAAAGAAUAAUACUUUUUAAAUAUUAAUUCGAAAAAAAUUAUAAUAAUGAAAUAAUCCAUGCAUUAAGUUAAUUAAAGAAAAAUAGACCAUAAAAAACACUUUGGUUAUUUGUCACUUUGCAUAAUUGUAUUAUUUUCUUUAUAUAUUUUUUAAAUUUAAAUAUUUUUUAAUUAAAAUUAAAUUUUGUGGCAUCAGAUACUUGGUCAUAUCUCCAUAGAAAGAAUCAAAAGAUCAGAAAAUAUUUAAAAAAAUUGCGAGUCUAGCGUAUCCGCUGAAUAUUAAGUUAAUACCAAAUCCACCCGCAUCCAAGUGCGGGUUUCACUUGAGUAUGUUUUGUUGAAUUUGAGGUUAUUAUUGUAAAUUUAUAUAUUGAAUAUUUGUGAUUUUAAAUGUACAAAUCCGUAAAAAAUCCACCGAAUACCAUUACGGGUUUGGUAAUUGUCAAAACCCGCAACAUGUGAGUUUUCUUAAAAAAAUUAAAACCCGCUACGGGUUGCAGGUGGGUUUGAUAAUUUAAAUUUUGUGCGGGUUUGGGUUUAGUAAUGACAAACCCGCUGCGAACGGUGCCCAUUACCAUCCCUACCAACCCCUUACCUUAAUUUAAAAAAAACAAUUAGUUCAUAUUUUAUCCAUUGAAUUAAUCCACGUGAGAGAUGAGAUUCUCAUAAGCUACAAGUGGUUGCUUAUUAAAGGAGCAUGCUAGCUUAAGCACUCUUCACAAAACAAUCACAAUUAAUGGAUUCAUCAAAAUUGAUGGCGUUGCUUUUCUUACUCUUCUCUGUUACUGCUGUCCUACCAAUCUCGAGUUCUAAGCGGCACCCAUUAGACUCACUAAGACCUUCUGAGUUCACCCGCGUUCAAACCAUUGUCAAAACCUCAUACCCUAGCAACAACCUAAGCUUCCACUACGUAGGCAUGGACGAGCCAGACAAAGCUGUUGUGUAUUCAUGGUUAUCAAAUUCUAAAACCAAAUUCCCUCGCAGAGCCAUUGUGAUUGCCCGACACAACCACCAAACUCACGAGAUCAUCGUAGACUUGUCGAAACGUUCGAUAGUUUCUGAUAAAGUUUACACGGGACACGGCUUCCCUUUACUCACCUUAGAAGAGCAACACGCUGGAGCUGCCCUGGUGCUGGCAUAUGAGCCGUUUAAAGCAUCAGUGAAGAAGAGGGGACUCAAUAUAUCUGAUGUUGUGUGUUCUGCUUCGACGGUUGGUUGGUAUGGCGAAAAGAAGAGCAAGAGAGUGCUCAAGUUCCCGUGUUUUUACACGGAUCAAGGGACUAUCAAUAUGUUUUUGAGGCCAAUCGAAGGGAUAACGAUUGUUGUUGAUAUAGAGGAGAUGAAAGUAACUGAGUACAACGACAGGGAGGUAGCUCCGAUACCAAAACCCGAGCCCACCGAAUACAGACUGUCGAAGCUGAAGCCACCUUUUGGUCCAAGGCUUAAUAGCGUCGCCACCUCGUCAACGAGACCUGGGUUCAAGAUUAAUGGCAACACUGUCAAGUAAGUCUAGUCGACUAAUUACCCUUUUGUUUAUUGUAUAAAUAUCCUAAUUAAAGGUAAUGCCAUACUUAAAUACUGGCAUACAGAGGGCUUUUAAAUUGGAAAAACUUAUCUUGGGUGCUUCAAAAACAUUGCACACUUGACCAACAAAGUGUUGGCUCCACUGGCAAUGGAGUCUCCUUAAGUGGCUUGACUGGGUUUGCUCCCUAGUUUGAGUCGCAGGAAAGUCGCCUUUGUUGGGAGAAUCUGUGCCUCCCGAUUCGAGCGGUGACUUCUAAUAUAUGUUAUGAUACAGGCUUAAAGGUGCCUCCCACAGUUGAGGCACUCCCCAAAAUACCUCGUGGUUAAGACAAAAAAAAAAAACAUUGCACACUUGCUAUUAAUUUCUCAUUAUGUAUUUAUUUAAACUAAUUAUAAAGUAAUUAAUACAUAUCACAAAAAGUGCAUGAAAAAAAAAACGAGGGUCUUAGAGUGACGGGUGCUCAUAAAUAAUUGGACACAAAAACGUCAUGAUCUCCUCCCACCCACAUUUUGGACCAGAUAAUGCCCCCCUUCCCAUCCUACUAAAUAUUACGCCUAUCUCGUUUCCAAAAUAGUUCUUUUUGUGAAUGAGUUUUGACUUAUCGUAGUUCGAUUUAGUUAAAAUUUUCAAUAAAUACAAGCUAAAUCAUCUAACGACAUCAUCAUCUUGACUAUAUAUAUACAUGUUCGAUAUAUUAGAGUGUCCUAAUCUUUUAAAUUGCAUUCAUUGCAGAUAAUAGUUCAGAUUUAUGAUUCAAAGUACGAAAAAUUGUGUGAAUAGUGUUUCCACGGUUGCUGGUGCUGUUGAGUGUUUUAGUCUAGUUUAGUUUUAGGUUCGAAAAUAGCUGAAAUUGAAAAUGUAAUAUAAUUAAAAUAUCUUUCAAAAUUAAAAUAUAAAUAUAAACAGAAAAAAAAAAUUAUGACUGUCCUACUACUGUCCCAUAAAAAAUGACAGGAUAUUUUUUUAUGUUGAUCCCAUCUCGAGAAGGUCUUUAGUACAGUAGAAAUAUUAUUUUGAGCAAAACUAUGGUACCACUUCUUUUGGGUAAAAUUAUGGUACUGUAAUGGUACCAUACCGUAGCUGGAUCCAGUCAUUGGAUUCAGCCUACAGUGAUCCCCAUAAUUGAAUGCAGCUGUGGUAUGGUACCAUAACUGGACCCUAUUAUUUUUUAUUUAUUUGCUAUUUAUCACACACACAUAUAUAUAUAUAUAUAUUAAUUAGUUGAAAUAUAAAAAAUAAAAUAAAAAAACUCCAAAAGUACCUAAAAAUUUCUUCCCGUUCCACUAUCAAUAGGUCGAGCGGCCACUCACCACUAAAUUAAAUCAUAAUAAAUAUAUUUAGUAUCAGUGUGCUGACGGUUUAGUGUGGAUACAUUUUUAUCAGUCAAUCACUAUUAUCGUUGUUGUUUUUUCUACGUGUUGUUUGAAGAGUUUAAUUGCAAAGCAACAAUUGAAACAAAUUUAAUGUCUCUGCCAUUUAAUCAGAUGGGCCAACUGGGUGUUCAACGUUGGAUUUGAUGCGCGAGUGGGUACAAUAAUUUCAACGGCUUCAAUUUACGAUAUCAAUAUGCACAAAUAUCGACGAGUUCUGUACAGGGGAUUCAUAUCAGAACUAUUCAUACCAUACCAAGAUCCAAGUGAGGGAUGGUACCACAUAACAUAUUUUGAUAAUGGUGAAUUUGGGUUCGGUCUAACAGCUGUGCCUUUAGAGCGCCUCAACGAUUGCCCCGCUAACGCUGUAUUUAUGGAUGGUUAUUUUGCCAGUCAAGAUGGCACACCAGUAAAAACGCCUAAUGCCGUGUGCAUCUUUGAACGACAUGCCGGCGACGUCAUGUGGCGUCACACUGAAGCAGAAAUGCCAGGACAUGUAACUUUCCUUUUUUAUAAUUUGGCCUCUUUUUAAGCAGUUUGGUUUGUUUGAUUGAUUGAUUGAUUGAUUUAAAAAAAAUAGAUAAAUAAAAUUUUUAUUGUGCUGCAGGUAAGGGAGGUGAGGCCAGAGGUGAGCCUGGUGGUGAGAAUGGUAGCAACCGUUGGCAACUAUGACUAUAUAAUCGACUGGGAAUUCAAGCCCAGUGGCUCCAUUAAAAUGGGGGUACAUAUAAUUAUUGCAUUUGAAAUUACUCACAAAAACACGUUACGUGUGAAAACACAAGAGUUUGAUAAAGUUUAUUUGAUAGUUCGUGAUUUCGAUUGAAAGUUACAACACUCUAAUGACAAAAAUGUCAUAAAAAUAUAAUAAUUGGGAGAUUUUGUGAUGUUAAAAUGGUGAUUUUAUGCAACAGGUUGGUUUAUCUGGAGUUCUAGAAGUGAAGCCAGUAGAGUAUACUUAUGUUGAUCAGAUAAAAGAGGAUCAACAUGGGACAUUGGUGGCAGAUAAUUCUAUUGCGAUCAACCACGAUCACUUCUUGAACUAUUAUCUUGAUCUUGAUAUUGAUGGUUAUGCUAAUUCCUUUGAGAAGACCAAAUUGGUUACCAGGCGAAACACAAAUGUUAAUACACCAAGAAAGAGUUAUUGGACGGUUGAAAAAGAAACAGCAAAGACUGAAUUCGAAGCUCGGCUUAAUCUUGACACAAAGCCAAUGGAGUUUGCACUAGUAAAUCCAAGUAAGAAAACUAAAAUUGGGCACCCUGUUGGCUAUCGCCUGCUUCCAGGAUCAAUCAUAGGCCCGAUGCUAAUGGACGAUGAUUACCCACAAAUACGAGCUGGCUUUACCAACUAUAAUGUUUGGGUUACCCCAUAUAAAAAGUCAGAAAAAUAUUCAGGAGGAAACUAUGUUGAUCAAAGCCAUGGUGAUGAUACCUUAUUGCAAUGGACUGACGG
RNAcentral lists this long non-coding RNA (7670 nucleotides) under Citrus sinensis (sweet orange). Its description in RNAcentral is "long non-coding RNA (CSIN_LNC003786)". Lineage: Eukaryota; Viridiplantae; Streptophyta; Magnoliopsida; Sapindales; Rutaceae. The record is from RNAcentral.